This 73-nucleotide transfer RNA is filed under the name Vibrio phage phi 3. It matches the Rfam family "tRNA". Rfam says of the family: Transfer RNA (tRNA) molecules are approximately 80 nucleotides in length. Lineage: Duplodnaviria; Heunggongvirae; Uroviricota; Caudoviricetes; Demerecviridae. The record is from Rfam by way of RNAcentral.
GCGGGUAUGAUGUAACUGUAUAGCAUGACUCCCUACGAAGGAGUUCGUCUAGGUUAGAAUCCUAGUAGCCGCG